Molecule: ribosomal RNA, 151 nt
Filed under: Cyphobasidium usneicola
Lineage: Eukaryota; Fungi; Basidiomycota; Cystobasidiomycetes; Cyphobasidiales; Cyphobasidiaceae
Description: 5.8S ribosomal RNA
Rfam family: 5.8S ribosomal RNA
About the family: 5.8S ribosomal RNA (5.8S rRNA) is a component of the large subunit of the eukaryotic ribosome.
Source: RNAcentral
AACUUUCAGCAACGGAUCUCUUGGCUCUUGCAUCGAUGAAGAACGCAGCGAAAUGCGAUACGUAAUGUGAAUUGCAGAAUUCAGUGAAUCAUCGAAUCUUUGAACGCACCUUGCACUCUUUGGCAUUCCGAAGAGUAUGUCUGUUUGAGUG